The sequence is a non-coding RNA, 199 nucleotides long. It matches the Rfam family "IS009". The record is from Rfam.
UGAAGGAUACGGAAGCAGAAAAACUGUUCCGGAUCCGGGAGGCGGAAGAAACAAAAAAAAGCCUGAUGCAGGUAGCCAGUGAGCAUAUUGCGCCGCUUCAGGAUGCUGCAGAUCUGGAAAUUGCAACGGAGGAAGAAACCUCGUUGCUGGAAGCCUGGAAGAAGUAUCGGGUGUUGCUGAACCGUGUUGAUACAUCAAC